Molecule: ribosomal RNA, 305 nt
Filed under: uncultured bacterium
Lineage: Bacteria
Description: bacterial SSU rRNA
Rfam family: Bacterial small subunit ribosomal RNA
Source: RNAcentral
CAUUCCUACGGGGGGCAGCAGUGGGGGAUAUUGCACAAUGGGGGCAACCCUGAUGCAGCGACGCCGCGUGAGCGAUGGAGUACUUCGGUAUGUAAAGCUCUAUCAGCAGGGAAGAGAAUGACGGUACCUGACCAAGAAGCCCCGGCUAAAUACGUGCCAGCAGCCGCGGUAAUACGUAUGGGGCAAGCGUUAUCCGGAUUUACUGGGUGUAAAGGGAGCGCAGGCGGCGCGUUAAGCCUGGUGUGAAAGCCCGCGGCCCAACCGCGGGACUGCAUUGGGAACUGGCGCGCUGGAGUGCCGGAGGG